ACGUUUUGACUCUUUCCGCCUUGGUCUUACCACUCAGUUUAUAGUUCGCCUUCUCAGCUUCUGGGAUUCAUGGAAAUCAUUAUUCUCUUCCUAGAUGAAAAUGUAGCGACAUCUUUUUCUAUCACCACUGAUCUAUUGCAUCUGUCCUAUAAUCAAUUAUCUAACUCUUGCCUGAUAUGUCUAUUUUGACUCAAUCUGCAGAAUUCAGUGAUCCACAGAUUCAUAUCCAUUGGUUGUACCAAUCACUACUGUCUUUCUUUGCGAGCAGGCUCCAUUGUAAAAGUUGAUGGGUCUGAGGUUUCACGUUUCACACUGCACAUGUACAAGAUUACUGAAAAUCCAAUCUUGAAAGUUUAUUUAUAUUAUGUUUUUGAAUCAUUAACCUAGAUUUCAACUUGCAGAUGUAGUUGGCCAAAUACGUUCUAUCGAAGGCUCAGACCUCAACAACAAUGCAGCCAAAAAAAAUUCUCACAUUACUCUUCAUUACCAGUUUAUAACUAUGUUUUCUAUAUUUCCACCACAAGAACUGUGAUCGUCUACUUAUCUUUGUGGGACGAGGCUGCCUCAACUUUUAGAGGUCUUUUGAAUUCAGGGGAAAAAUCCCAGUCUGUAGUGGUAGUCAAUACGGUCUAUCCAAAGAUAUUUGGAGAUUUCUGCAGGGAACCUCUAUCUCAUCUCCACACCAGCUACCAAAUUCUAUUUGACACUGACCUUCCUGUAGUUAAAGAGUUCACCACCAAUUCGGGAGGACAGAGGUUUUCCCCUGUGUUGAUACCAUGGAAGGGAUUAAGAAAAAGGAUCUAAACACAUUUAUCUCUAACUCCAACGAGUAAAAGUAUAAGCCAAGCUUUAAUAAUAUAUUGUUUGUUAUUAGUGACUUCAAAAUAGCAAAUUUAUUUUCUCUGUUUAGACAUAGAAAGCUGAUUUUCUCUGUAAAACUCGGAUUCCUUGUGUCCUCCAACAAAAUGGAUAGUCUUUUGUCUCAUACAACGGAUGCAACAGGAAGUUGGUGUCCUGCCUAUGUUACAAGACUUUUUUCUCUAAACUGGUACGAAAACCAUAUUAUCGGUAAACAAGGGUUAUGAUGGGUUACUCAGAUUCAGGGAAAGACGCUGGGCGUCUCUCAGCUGCUUGGGAGCUAUACAAAGCUCAAGAAGAGCUUGUGAAGGUCACUAAGCAAUAUGGAGUGAAGCUAACUAUGUUUCAUGGCCGUGGUGGCGUGGUCGGAAGAGGAGGUGGUCCCACCCAUCUUGCUAUAUUGUCUCAGCCACCGGAUCCAGUUAAUGGCUCACCCCGAGUGACAGUUUAAGGUGAAGUCAUUGAGCAGUCAUUGUAUAACAAACUUCUUGUCUCGAAAUAUUUAUGGGCCUUUGGAGAGAAACUCAGAAACAACUUUGAAGAAACCAAGAGUCUCAUUCUCCAGGUAUAAACAAAAGCAAAAACAAAGUACUCUGUUUCUUAUUCCUUUUACUUUGCAGUGCCAUUAAAAUCUAUUUGUUGCAGACUGCUGGACACAUAUCUUCUUGAAGGGUAUUGCUGCAGGAUUGCAAAACACCGGUUAAGUGAGUGAGUCUUUGAGAUAAAGCAGACUUUUGAGUCUCUCUUUUAUGUCUUCCCUUCUAUAGAAUAAUCUCUUUUUUCAAUCGAAAAUAAUAAAAUAAUAACUACGGUUGGAUUACAAUAUACUUUAUGUAUCCACACCGUUGAGAAAAGUUUUAAUCUUGUCCUUGUAUGAAACAAAACAAUGCUCUGUUUCAGAGACAGUGAUCAAUCUUAAAAUUUUAUCAUUUUGUCCU
Brassica napus (rape) is the source of this 1796-nucleotide long non-coding RNA. RefSeq lists it as uncharacterized. Lineage: Eukaryota; Viridiplantae; Streptophyta; Magnoliopsida; Brassicales; Brassicaceae. The transcript has 3 exons. The record is from RefSeq and is a predicted model, not a curated record.